Molecule: small RNA, 435 nt
Filed under: Pan troglodytes (chimpanzee)
Lineage: Eukaryota; Metazoa; Chordata; Mammalia; Primates; Hominidae
Description: processed transcript
Source: RNAcentral
UGUAAGAAACGUGUGUACGUGAUGGAACGGCUGAGCGCCGAGGGCCACUUCUUCCACCGGGAGUGUUUCCGCUGCAGCAUCUGUGCCACCACCUUGCGCCUGGCCGCCUACACCUUUGACUGCGAUGAAGGCAAAUUUUACUGCAAGCCUCACUUCAUUCACUGUAAAACCAAUAGCAAACAACGGAAGAGACGGGCAGAGUUGAAGCAACAAAGAGAGGAGGAGGCAACAUGGCAAGAGCAGGAAGCCCCUCGGAGAGACACUCCCACCGAAAGUUCUUGCGCAGUGGCCGCCAUUGGCACCCCAGAAGGCAGCCCCCCAGGUACCCAGAUGCCACUUGUCAGCAGCAGGAUACUUUUUACAACAUGAAAGCAUAAUUAUUUUAGAAGAAGAGAGUAGAAGGGCAGAAUAGAAUUCAACUUACAAAAGCACGGA